Molecule: ribosomal RNA, 2785 nt
Filed under: Salmonella enterica subsp. enterica serovar Paratyphi C
Lineage: Bacteria; Pseudomonadati; Pseudomonadota; Gammaproteobacteria; Enterobacterales; Enterobacteriaceae
Description: partial 23S ribosomal RNA
Rfam family: Bacterial large subunit ribosomal RNA
Source: RNAcentral
GACUCGUCACACUAUCAUUAACUGAAUCCAUAGGUUAAUGAGGCGAACCGGGGGAACUGAAACAUCUAAGUACCCCGAGGAAAAGAAAUCAACCGAGAUUCCCCCAGUAGCGGCGAGCGAACGGGGAGGAGCCCAGAGCCUGAAUCAGCAUGUGUGUUAGUGGAAGCGUCUGGAAAGGCGCGCGAUACAGGGUGACAGCCCCGUACACAAAAGCGCAUGUGCUGUGAGCUCGAUGAGUAGGGCGGGACACGUGGUAUCCUGUCUGAAUAUGGGGGGACCAUCCUCCAAGGCUAAAUACUCCUGACUGACCGAUAGUGAACCAGUACCGUGAGGGAAAGGCGAAAAGAACCCCGGCGAGGGGAGUGAAAAAGAACCUGAAACCGUGUACGUACAAGCAGUGGGAGCACAGGUUUACCUGUGUGACUGCGUACCUUUUGUAUAAUGGGUCAGCGACUUAUAUUCUGUAGCAAGGUUAACCGUAUAGGGGAGCCGUAGGGAAACCGAGUCUUAACCGGGCGUUAAGUUGCAGGGUAUAGACCCGAAACCCGGUGAUCUAGCCAUGGGCAGGUUGAAGGUUGGGUAACACUAACUGGAGGACCGAACCGACUAAUGUUGAAAAAUUAGCGGAUGACCUGUGGCUGGGGGUGAAAGGCCAAUCAAACCGGGAGAUAGCUGGUUCUCCCCGAAAGCUAUUUAGGUAGCGCCUCGUGAAUUCAUCUCCGGGGGUAGAGCACUGUUUCGGCUAGGGGGCCAUCCCGGCUUACCAACCCGAUGCAAACUGCGAAUACCGGAGAAUGUUAUCACGGGAGACACACGGCGGGUGCUAACGUCCGUCGUGAAGAGGGAAACAACCCAGACCGCCAGCUAAGGUCCCAAAGUCAUGGUUAAGUGGGAAACGAUGUGGGAAGGCCCAGACAGCCAGGAUGUUGGCUUAGAAGCAGCCAUCAUUUAAAGAAAGCGUAAUAGCUCACUGGUCGAGUCGGCCUGCGCGGAAGAUGUAACGGGGCUAAACCAUGCACCGAAGCUGCGGCAGCGACGCUGAUGCGUUGUUGGGUAGGGGAGCGUUCUGUAAGCCUGUGAAGGUGGCCUGUGAGGGUUGCUGGAGGUAUCAGAAGUGCGAAUGCUGACAUAAGUAACGAUAAAGCGGGUGAAAAGCCCGCUCGCCGGAAGACCAAGGGUUCCUGUCCAACGUUAAUCGGGGCAGGGUGAGUCGACCCCUAAGGCGAGGCCGAAAGGCGUAGUCGAUGGGAAACGGGUUAAUAUUCCCGUACUUGGUGUUACUGCGAAGGGGGGACGGAGAAGGCUAUGUUGGCCGGGCGACGGUUGUCCCGGUUUAAGCGUGUAGGUGUGUGUUCCAGGUAAAUCCGGUUCACUUUAACACUGAGGCGUGAUGACGAGGCACUACGGUGCUGAAGCAACAAAUGCCCUGCUUCCAGGAAAAGCCUCUAAGCAUCAGGUAACAUCAAAUCGUACCCCAAACCGACACAGGUGGUCAGGUAGAGAAUACCAAGGCGCUUGAGAGAACUCGGGUGAAGGAACUAGGCAAAAUGGUGCCGUAACUUCGGGAGAAGGCACGCUGACACGUAGGUGAAGUGAUUUACUCAUGGAGCUGAAGUCAGUCGAAGAUACCAGCUGGCUGCAACUGUUUAUUAAAAACACAGCACUGUGCAAACACGAAAGUGGACGUAUACGGUGUGACGCCUGCCCGGUGCCGGAAGGUUAAUUGAUGGGGUCAGCGCAAGCGAAGCUCCUGAUCGAAGCCCCGGUAAACGGCGGCCGUAACUAUAACGGUCCUAAGGUAGCGAAAUUCCUUGUCGGGUAAGUUCCGACCUGCACGAAUGGCGUAAUGAUGGCCAGGCUGUCUCCACCCGAGACUCAGUGAAAUUGAACUCGCUGUGAAGAUGCAGUGUACCCGCGGCAAGACGGAAAGACCCCGUGAACCUUUACUAUAGCUUGACACUGAACAUUGAGCCUUGAUGUGUAGGAUAGGUGGGAGGCUUUGAAGCGUGGACGCCAGUCUGCAUGGAGCCGGCCUUGAAAUACCACCCUUUAAUGUUUGAUGUUCUAACGUGGACCCGUGAUCCGGGUUGCGGACAGUGUCUGGUGGGUAGUUUGACUGGGGCGGUCUCCUCCUAAAGAGUAACGGAGGAGCACGAAGGUUGGCUAAUCCUGGUCGGACAUCAGGAGGUUAGUGCAAUGGCAUAAGCCAGCUUGACUGCGAGCGUGACGGCGCGAGCAGGUGCGAAAGCAGGUCAUAGUGAUCCGGUGGUUCUGAAUGGAAGGGCCAUCGCUCAACGGAUAAAAGGUACUCCGGGGAUAACAGGCUGAUACCGCCCAAGAGUUCAUAUCGACGGCGGUGUUUGGCACCUCGAUGUCGGCUCAUCACAUCCUGGGGCUGAAGUAGGUCCCAAGGGUAUGGCUGUUCGCCAUUUAAAGUGGUACGCGAGCUGGGUUUAGAACGUCGUGAGACAGUUCGGUCCCUAUCUGCCGUGGGCGCUGGAGAACUGAGGGGGGCUGCUCCUAGUACGAGAGGACCGGAGUGGACGCAUCACUGGUGUUCGGGUUGUCAUGCCAAUGGCACUGCCCGGUAGCUAAAUGCGGAAGAGAUAAGUGCUGAAAGCAUCUAAGCACGAAACUUGCCCCGAGAUGAGUUCUCCCUGAGACUUAGAGUCUCCUGAAGGAACGUUGAAGACGACGACGUUGAUAGGCCGGGUGUGUAAGCGCAGCGAUGCGUUGAGCUAACCGGUACUAAUGAACCGUGAGGCUUAACCUUACAACGCCGAAG